RNAcentral lists this ribosomal RNA (396 nucleotides) under uncultured bacterium. RNAcentral's name for it is "partial 16S ribosomal RNA". It matches the Rfam family "Bacterial small subunit ribosomal RNA", at positions 523 to 918 of the family's 1533-position model. The record is from RNAcentral.
AUACGCAGGUGGCAAGCGUUGUCCGGAAUUAUUGGGCGUAAAGCGCAUGCAGGCGGUGCCCUAAGUCUGUCGUGAAACUGCGGGGCCUCACCCCGUAUGGCGAUGGAAACCGUGGCACUUGCGUGCAGGAGAGGAAAGGGGCACUCCCAGUGUAGCGGUGAAAUGCGUAGAUAUUGGGAAGAACACCGGUGGCGAAGGCGCCUUUCUGGACUGUUUCUGACGCUGAGAGGCGAAAGCCAGGGUAGCGAACGGGAUUAGAUACCCCGGUAGUCCUGGCCGUAAACGAUGGGUACUAGGUGUGGGAGGUAUCGACCCCUUCCGUGCCGGAGUUAACGCAAUAAGUCCCCCGCCUGGGGAGUACGGCCGCAAGGCUUAAACUCAAAGGAAUUGACGGGG